This 253-nucleotide ribosomal RNA is filed under the name uncultured bacterium. Its description in RNAcentral is "partial 16S ribosomal RNA". It matches the Rfam family "Bacterial small subunit ribosomal RNA", at positions 524 to 776 of the family's 1533-position model. The record is from RNAcentral.
UACGUAGGGGGCAAGCGUUGUCCGGAAUCAUUGGGCGUAAAGAGCGUGUAGGCGGCCCGGUAAGUCCGCUGUGAAAGUCCAGGGCUCAACCCUGGGAUGCCGGUGGAUACUGUCGGGCUCGAGUCCGGAAGAGGAGUGUGGAAUUCCUGGUGUAGCGGUGAAAUGCGUUGAUAUCCGAAGGAACGCCGGUGGCGAAAGCGACGGGCUGGAUCUCUUCUGACGCUGAGGCGCGAAAGCCAGGGUAGCGAACGGG